RNAcentral lists this ribosomal RNA (808 nucleotides) under uncultured bacterium. RNAcentral describes it as "bacterial SSU rRNA". It matches the Rfam family "Bacterial small subunit ribosomal RNA", at positions 102 to 925 of the family's 1533-position model. The record is from RNAcentral.
ACGGCUCAGUAACACGUGGGUAACCUGCCUUACACAGGGGGAUAGCCUUCCGAAAGGAAGAUUAAUACCGCAUAAGAAGUAAUUACCGCAUGGUAGAAGCUUUAAAGGAGCAAUCCGGUGUAAGAUGGACCCGCGGCGCAUUAGCUAGUUGGUGAGGUAAUGGCUCACCAAGGCAACGAUGCGUAGCCGACCUGAGAGGGUGAUCGGCCACAUUGGAACUGAGAGACGGUCCAGACUCCUACGGGAGGCAGCAGUGGGGAAUAUUGCACAAUGGAGGAAACUCUGAUGCAGCAACGCCGCGUGAGUGACGAAGGCCUUCGGGUUGUAAAGCUCUGUCAUCUGGGACGAUAAUGACGGUACCAGAGGAGGAAGCCACGGCUAACUACGUGCCAGCAGCCGCGGUAAUACGUAGGUGGCGAGCGUUGUCCGGAAUUACUGGGCGUAAAGGAUGCGUAGGUGGGAAUUUAAGUCAGAUGUGAAAUACCCGAGCUUAACUUGGGCACUGCAUUUGAAACUGAAUUUCUUGAGUGCAGGAGAGGAAAGCGGAAUUCCUAGUGUAGCGGUGAAAUGCGUAGAGAUUAGGAAGAACACCAGUGGCGAAGGCGGCUUUCUGGACUGUAACUGACACUGAGGCAUGAAAGCGUGGGGAGCAAACAGGAUUAGAUACCCUGGUAGUCCACGCUGUAAACGAUGGGUACUAGGUGUGGGAGGUAUCGACUCCUUCCGUGCCGCAGUUAACACAAUAAGUACCCCGCCUGGGGAGUACGAUCGCAAGAUUAAAACUCAAAGGAAUUGGCGGGGGAGCACA